GUCUAUGGCCAUGCUACCCUGAAUGUGCCCAAACCCGUCUGAUUGUGGAAGCUAAACGGGGUUGGGCCUGGUUAGUACUUCAAUGGGACUACACCUAGGAAUACCAGGUGCUGUAGGUG
This 119-nucleotide ribosomal RNA is filed under the name Pteropus vampyrus (large flying fox). Lineage: Eukaryota; Metazoa; Chordata; Mammalia; Chiroptera; Pteropodidae. The record is from RNAcentral.